Molecule: unclassified non-coding RNA, 1559 nt
Filed under: Hevea brasiliensis (rubber tree)
Lineage: Eukaryota; Viridiplantae; Streptophyta; Magnoliopsida; Malpighiales; Euphorbiaceae
Source: RNAcentral
AUUGAGAAAUCAAAAUAGAAAUGAAGAAGCAUUUCGCUUACGCAUUUCUUCUAAUUUUCUUGUUGCAGCAUGUAUGUUUAUUCGUUCAAGUUGAAGCAGGGGAUGGGUUCAUUAGGACCAGAGGAAUACAUUUCAUGUUGAAUGGUGACCCUUUUUAUGCUAAUGGAUUUAAUGCCUACUGGUUAAUGUAUAUUGCUGCUGACCCAUCUCAAAGAUCUAAAGUAACAGAUGCAUUUAGAGAAGCUUCGAGCCAUGGACUCACUGUUGCUAGAACUUGGGCUUUUAGUGAUGGUGGAUACAGGCCAUUACAAUAUGCUCCUGGAUCUUACAAUGAGGACAUGUUUAAGGGUUUGGAUUUUGUGAUAUCUGAAGCAAGAAGGUAUGGGAUUAAGGUUAUAUUAAGCUUUGCAAACAAUUACGAGAGCUUUGGGGGAAAGAAACAGUAUGUGAAUUGGGCUAGAAGUCAUGGACAGUACCUCAAUUCAGAUGAUGAUUUCUUCAAAAACUCAGUUGUUAAGGGCUAUUACAAGAAUCAUAUUAUGACUGUAUUGAACAGAUACAACAGAUUCAGUGGAGUUGUUUAUAAGAAUGAUCCUACAAUCAUGGCGUGGGAACUUAUGAAUGAACCUAGAUGCACAUCAGAUCAUUCAGGAAGAACCAUUCAGGCAUGGGCAACAGAGAUGGCCUCUUAUGUUAAGUCCAUUGACAGAAACCAUUUGUUAGAAGUUGGCUUAGAAGGAUUCUACGGGCAAACAACUCCGCAGAGGAGAAAUCUGAAUCCUAAUUUUGACAUAGGAACUGAUUUCAUCGCCAACAACCGCAUCCCUGGCAUUGAUUUUGCCACUGUUCAUGCCUAUCCUGAUCAAUGGGUAACAAACUCAAAUGAUCAAGGCCAACUAUCAUUUCUGAACAAUUGGCUAGACUCCCACAUUCAAGAUGCUCAAUAUAUUCUCCGUAAGCCAUUGCUGAUCACAGAGUUUGGAAAAUCUUCGAAAGAUUCAGGUUUCAGCUCCUACCAAAGGGACCUUCUUUACAAUACAGUCUACUACAAGAUAUAUUCAUCAGCUAAGCGCGGGGGAGCAGCAGCAGGGGGACUCUUCUGGCAACUUUUAAGUGAAGGAAUGAACUCAUUUGGAGAUGGAUAUGAGAUUAUCUUAAGCCAGAACCCUUCAACUGCAAAUUUAAUUGCUCAACAAUCUCAUAAGCUGUACCAGAUUCGGAAAAUAUUUGCAAGAAUGAGAAACAUUCAGAGGUGGAAGAGAGCAAAGGCUGCUAGAAGGAGUGAUUGGACAAAUAGGAACAAAGGAAAGCGAAUCGGAAACUAAUGAUAAGAUGCUUUACGUUUGAAGCUAUAACUUAUGAUUUAAAGUAGUGUGUGUGACAGAAAAAACUGUCCUGAAGGAUUUUGUAUGACAUAUAGUGUUUGCAAAAGCCCUCUUAGAGAUGAUUAUGGUUCAUCCAGGUGGCUUAAUAGAGAUUAUUACUUACGGUAACUAUGUUGUUUUCUGGAUACUUGACUACUUGUAUUGUUACUUGCAUGUUUGUUGUUUUCCAAUUAU